RNAcentral lists this transfer RNA (73 nucleotides) under Stegodyphus dumicola. RNAcentral describes it as "tRNA-Ser". It matches the Rfam family "tRNA". Rfam says of the family: Transfer RNA (tRNA) molecules are approximately 80 nucleotides in length. Their secondary structure includes four short double-helical elements and three loops (D, anti-codon, and T loops). Further hydrogen bonds mediate the characteristic L-shaped molecular structure. tRNAs have two regions of fundamental functional importance: the anti-codon, which is responsible for specific mRNA codon recognition, and the 3' end, to which the tRNAs corresponding amino acid is attached (by aminoacyl-tRNA synthetases). tRNAs cope with the degeneracy of the genetic code in two manners: having more than one tRNA (with a specific anti-codon) for a particular amino acid; and 'wobble' base-pairing, i.e. permitting non-standard base-pairing at the 3rd anti-codon position. The record is from RNAcentral. Lineage: Eukaryota; Metazoa; Arthropoda; Arachnida; Araneae; Eresidae.
GCCUUCGUGGUGUAGUGGUCAGCACGCUCGACACGAAUUCUAGAUGUCCGUGGUUCGAGUCCCGGCGAGGGCA